Molecule: ribosomal RNA, 465 nt
Filed under: Vreelandella stevensii
Lineage: Bacteria; Pseudomonadati; Pseudomonadota; Gammaproteobacteria; Oceanospirillales; Halomonadaceae
Description: partial 16S ribosomal RNA
Rfam family: Bacterial small subunit ribosomal RNA
Source: RNAcentral
CCUACGGGAGGCAGCAGUGGGGAAUAUUGGACAAUGGGGGCAACCCUGAUCCAGCCAUGCCGCGUGUGUGAAGAAGGCCCUCGGGUUGUAAAGCACUUUCAGUGAGGAAGAACGCCUGGUGGUUAAUACCCAUCAGGAAAGACAUCACUCACAGAAGAAGCACCGGCUAACUCCGUGCCAGCAGCCGCGGUAAUACGGAGGGUGCGAGCGUUAAUCGGAAUUACUGGGCGUAAAGCGCGCGUAGGUGGCUUGAUAAGCCGGUUGUGAAAGCCCCGGGCUCAACCUGGGAACGGCAUCCGGAACUGUCAAGCUAGAGUGCAGGAGAGGAAGGUAGAAUUCCCGGUGUAGCGGUGAAAUGCGUAGAGAUCGGGAGGAAUACCAGUAGCGAAGGCGGCCUUCUGGACUGACACUGACACUGAGGUGCGAAAGCGUGGGUAGCAAACAGGAUUAGAUACCCCAGUAGUC